CCCUUUCUUUUCACUAUCAGGCAAGAUGGCAUUGAAGCCCCCAAUAGCGAGCCAAGGAGCAGCCCCCAAAGGAACAGUAGCAUUUAACCCUUCCUAGAAUAGUUUUUGUUUUUUGUUUUUUUUUUCUAUCAGGACUGCCAUAAACAAAAGCAAUAAAGACAGAGAAUGACCAAGGAUCCGAACCAGAAUAAAUUGUGAAUGGCUGUAAAUUACCUCAGGUCUAACGGAGUCCUUCCAACCUACUCAAAUUUCCCCUGAAAAACCAACUACUUCCACUCGGUGAGAAAAAUGAAAAUCCAAUUUGAUAAUGAUGUUAUCAACUUUUGUACGACUAACUCUAGUAUUUAAUAGACUGACAAUAUCUAAUUUAUGCUCCAAAUUAUAUUCACAAAAAAUACACUAAAAAUUGAUACCAGCACAAUCUUGAUAAUUCCAUGAAAAAAUUGACAAAUCCGUAUUCAAAAUACAGUAACAAAAAACAAGAAACAGGAGAAAAACCAAACCUUAGUGAACAAAAGGAGAUGAGUUUUACGACCCUUUCCCAUUCCCUAUCAGAACAAAAGGCGAAUUGACAUGUCUGGCUUUUCGAAGUACAUGUGAAAAAAUAGCAGUGGAGAGAUUGGUCAAGUGUCAAUCUUGAUGGAACAUCCACCCACUGGUC
Molecule: long non-coding RNA, 661 nt
Filed under: Gossypium raimondii (Peruvian cotton)
Lineage: Eukaryota; Viridiplantae; Streptophyta; Magnoliopsida; Malvales; Malvaceae
Description: long non-coding RNA (GRAI_LNC007982)
Source: RNAcentral